CAAUAGCGUAUAUUAAAGUUGUUGCAGUUAGAACGCUCGUAGUCGGAUUUCGGGGCGGGCCGACCGGUCUGCCGAUGGGUACGCACAGGUCGGCGCGUCCUUCCUUCCGGAGACCGUUCCUACUCUUAACUGAGCGGGGGCGGGAGACGGAUCGUUUACUUUGAAAAAAUCAGAGUGUUUCAAGCAGGCAGCUCGCUCUUGCAUGGAUUAGCAUGGGAUAAUGAAAUAGGACUUUGGUGCUAUUUUGUUGGUUUCGAACACCGAAGUAAUGAUUAAAAGGGACAGUCAGGGGCACUCGUAUUCCGCCGAGAGAGGUGAAAUUCUCAGACCAGCGGAAGACGAACUACUGCGAAAGCAUUUGCCAGGGAUGUUUUCACUGA
RNAcentral lists this ribosomal RNA (380 nucleotides) under uncultured eukaryote. Its description in RNAcentral is "partial 18S ribosomal RNA". It matches the Rfam family "Eukaryotic small subunit ribosomal RNA", at positions 592 to 976 of the family's 1831-position model. The record is from RNAcentral.